This 253-nucleotide ribosomal RNA is filed under the name uncultured bacterium. RNAcentral's name for it is "partial 16S ribosomal RNA". It matches the Rfam family "Bacterial small subunit ribosomal RNA", at positions 524 to 776 of the family's 1533-position model. The record is from RNAcentral.
UACGUAGGGUGCGAGCGUUAAUCGGAAUUACUGGGCGUAAAGCGUGCGCAGGCGGUUCGUUGUGUCGGCGGUGAAAGCCCCGGGCUUAACCUGGGAAUGGCCGUUGAAACUGGCGAACUGGAGUGUGGCAGAGGGGGGUGGAAUUCCGCGUGUAGCAGUGAAAUGCGUAGAGAUGCGGAGGAACACCGAUGGCGAAGGCAGCCCCCUGGGCUGACACUGACGCUCAGGCACAAAAGCGUGGGGAGCAAACAGG